GACGAACGCUGGCGGCGUGCCUAAUACAUGCAAGUAGAACGCUGAAGAGAGGAGCUUGCUCUUCUUGGAUGAGUUGCGAACGGGUGAGUAACGCGUAGGUAACCUGCCUGGUAGCGGGGGAUAACUAUUGGAAACGAUAGCUAAUACCGCAUAAAAUGGAUUAUCGCAUGAUAAUCCAUUGAAAGGUGCAAAUGCAUCACUACCAGAUGGACCUGCGUUGUAUUAGCUAGUUGGUGGGGUAACGGCUCAACAAGGCGACGAUACAUAGCCGACCUGAGAGGGUGAUCGGCCACGCUGGGACUGAGACACGGCCCAGACUCCUACGGGAGGCAGCAGUAGGGAAUCUUCGGCAAUGGACGGAAGUCUGACCGAGCAACGCCGCGUGAGUGAAGAAGGUUUUCGGAUCGUAAAGCUCUGUUGUAAGAGAAGAACGAGUGUGAGAGUGGAAAGUUCACACUGUGACGGUAUCUUACCAGAAAGCGACGGCUAACUACGUG
RNAcentral lists this ribosomal RNA (497 nucleotides) under uncultured bacterium. RNAcentral's name for it is "partial 16S ribosomal RNA". It matches the Rfam family "Bacterial small subunit ribosomal RNA", at positions 28 to 507 of the family's 1533-position model. The record is from RNAcentral.